Molecule: long non-coding RNA, 834 nt
Filed under: Marmota monax (woodchuck)
Lineage: Eukaryota; Metazoa; Chordata; Mammalia; Rodentia; Sciuridae
Source: RNAcentral
CACAGCCAGUGGCAGAAGAAGCUCAGAUCCAGGUCACAGGCUCCAAAGGUAGGGUCUUUCUGAUUCAGAGACAGGAGACUCAAAGCAGUUGACACGGUCAAGAAAACCUUGAUCCAAGACGAGCCCUGGAAGGGGACCCUGAGUCCCGGGAAGACUAAGCUCCUUCCCUGGCUCACAAUCCUCUGGCCUGACCUUGAAAAGGUGAAGUUCAGUCCCAAGUUCAACCCACCCACACACACACACAUGCACGUACACAAACUCCUUCAGACCAGGAAGAGGAAUCAAGUGCCAUGUAGAUGGCGGGCGGUCUCCACACAGACUGCUGGGUCCCUUUGAGAAGGAUGAGCAGAGGGGGUCCCUCUGAGGGUCUGGGUCCUGCCUGAGGAGUUUGUCACGUCACAUCCCCCGCUGGGUCUCGCAGUUCUGGCUUGGGCUCCUCUCAAGAGGUUUACAGGGCUCAGAUCUGGGGAAGUGGCCUGUCCUGGUGUGGCCGAGCUCUGUCUUGGGCCUGCCCUGAGAGAGAAGGGCUGCUCCCUGGGACCUGCGGUGUGACCCUGGCCAGUGUCCUCUCAUGGGGUCCAAUGGCCAGAAUGAAAGGCGGAAAUUGUCCUCUGGACGGGGACAGAUAGUAGCAUUGAGAGAAAGAAGUUAAGCUACAAACAGCACCGCUAGUCGCUCCAGUGUCCUUCCCUGUCCCUGUCAGAGCCACAGAAACUCUCCCAGACUUUUCACGGGGCACAUGGUGGGCCAGAUUAGCUAUAUUUCCCUGGCUUCCGUGUAGCUACAAAUGGCCAUGUGACUGCAUUUAGACAAUGGGAUGUGACGGAGAAUAAC